CCAAACUGAGACAGAAUCAAAUUGAACAGAUUCAUAUUGACAGAUCGAAUUAAGAAACUCGCGAGGACUUGAUCGAGAACCUAUCACUACUUAAAACUACAAAUAGAUCAAAGCAAUAACAAGAUCUCAAAUGGACUCUCGACUACCUAUGGAAGAGAUCGAACUUAAUCAAGACAAUCCUGUUCUAGCCAAUCGACCAGUUGACGAACAUGAACUUACAUUGCAAAGUUGACAAACCUCGCACCGAGAGCUCACUCCGUCGAAAAGUUGGCAAUGCGCCAAAGUUGAGUUGAUCACCUAUUUAUAUAUCGUAUCCUAACUAACCUGCCUGGAUAUGGAUCCGUAUUAACAACUAAUCUAUUACACUCGGACUCUAAUUAGAUAUAAAAUCCCAAACAUACUCGGACUCUGAUAAGUACCGAAUCUAUCUCUACUCUUCUAGGCCCAAUCGGACUCCAAUCCUUGUCCAAUACAAACUCUAUCGGCUGAAUUCGUAUCUUCUUCAACCUAUGCUUCCAGCCAAUUCCGCUUUGCCUAUCCGAUACUGUCUCUAAUCGCGCAUUAAUCCAUAACAGCAAUUUCCCAAAAUCUAGCGUUAACAUAUUCACAUGGUUAUUUUCCAUUCACUACUACAAAAACCAUUUUUGCCAACAGGCGGAUUGUAGUUUCGUAUGCGGUUGGCCAAACCACAAGUGAGAGAAGGUCUGCAAAGAUCACGAUCUUCGCAUGCGACCGGCCCAAAAAUGAAAAAUCACAAAAAAAUAAAAAUCCCCAAAAAACCCCUAGCCCCAGGCGCCUGAGCUCGCAGCCGCUCGCCACCACGCCGGAUCCGCCGUGCCCGAGCUCGCCACCGCCCGCCGCCAUCGUCGGCGCCAGCGAGGUCAUAGUCUUCACACCCGAGCCAGACCGCCAUAACUGAGCUCGCCGCCGCAACCCCCGCCGUCGUCGUCACCGUGGGGACAUCAUCGUCGUCGCACUGGAGCUGGAUCCGCCGUCCCCGAGCUCGUUGUCGCCGAGAGGGAGGGCAGCGGCGCCGGAUCCGCAUGGGAGGAGGGCGGACGACCCUAGAUACGCCGCCCCCGAGCUCGUUGUCGCCGCUGGGGGAGGGCGUCGGUGCCGGAUCCACGUGGGAUGAGGGCGACCGACCCUGGAUCCGCCGCCCCCAAGCUCAUCGUCGCCGCGGGGGAGGUCGCCGGCGCCGGAUCCACAUGGGAGGAGGGGGCCGACCCCAGAUCUGCCGCCCCUAAGCUCGUCGUAGCCGAGGGGAGCUCGCCGUCAUCGCCACGGGGGAGGGUGCCGCCGUCCCCCAUGUGCCGCCUAUCGAGAUCGUCACCGCCUCUCGAGCCCCGCGCCGCUAGCCUCUCGUUCUCCAUGUCGCCGGCCUCCGGCUGAGAGUUGAUAGAGAGGCUAAGAUAGAGGAGAGGAUUUGUGUGAGAGAGAGGAGACUAGGAGAUGACUGAGAGAGAAGAAGUAGAUAAGGUCGCCGGCUAGUGUGAGUUGAAUUUUUUUUAAAUGGCUAAGAGGGUAAUAGGAGGCCUGCAUGUAAAAAUAGAGCACUUAUUUUUACAUACGGACCACUUAAGCGCCCGCAUGUAAAAUCGUGUGUUUUUUAAAAUUCAAAUUCAUUUUUAUGACAUUAAAUCAACUCAUGUCAAAAAGUUAAAAAAGUUGC
RNAcentral lists this long non-coding RNA (1672 nucleotides) under Oryza brachyantha (malo sina). Its description in RNAcentral is "long non-coding RNA (OBRA_LNC002595)". The record is from RNAcentral. Lineage: Eukaryota; Viridiplantae; Streptophyta; Magnoliopsida; Poales; Poaceae.